AACCUGGUUGAUCCUGCCAGUAGUGUAUGCUUUUCCUAAAGACUAAGCCAUGCAUGUCUUCGAAUAAGAGGAAGCAAUUCUCUCUGAAUCUGCGUACGGCUCCGCACACCAGUUGUAAACCAAAGCAAGCAAGCCCGGUCUCGACGCCUUUCGGGGCUAGAGGCCGGGCUACAAGGAUAACCCUGGUAAUUCUGAGGCUAAUACUUGACACAGAACCUGCCGACUGGGCUUCGGUUCGGGAAGCGGGGGAUGUGCGACUAUCGGGCCAACAAAACCGGAAAGAGCGCACGUUCAGACCACUUAAAAAGGCUUCGGGUCCCUCGGGAUCCGGGGUUGUGGCUCUUGCAGCGUGCUUCUGACCUAUCAACUAGACGGCAGCCUAAGGGACAUGCUUUGGUGACAACGGGUACAGAGGAUAAGGGUUCGAUCCUGGAGAGUGGGCCUGAGAGAUUGCUCAUACUUCUAAGGAAGGCAGCAGGCGCGCAACGUUCCCAUUGGACAUCGUCUGAGGGCGUUAGGGGAAAUAUUAAUACCUGCCCAAUGGGUGGGUAAUUAAAAUGGGUCUGUUCUAAACAGGCUCUCGAGUAACAAUUAGAGGACAAGUCUGGUGCCAGCACCCGCGGUAAUUCCAGCUCUAAUAGCAUACGUUAAAGUUGUUGCAGUUAAAACGCUCGUAGUCGGCUUCAGACCACUGGAUGCGGAUGGCGGAGACCUGGAAUGUGCCCCUCAAAGGGUGCGCCGGGCGACUGACAAAAGCGGAAGGUGGUCAAACGUGCCUGCAACGUGCCUGGCUCCGGCUGGGAUUUACAAGGCUUGUUCUGCCCUCAAAAGCGGUUCUUGCCCGGUUGCAGGUGCCAAUUACCAUGAAUAAACCAGAGUGCUCCAAGCAGGCCAAUCGGUCUUGCAUGGCACAGCAUGGUAUAAGACCAGCAGGGGCUAGCUUUUGCUCGGGUUAGCCCCCUGGACUAAGCAAAAGGGGUGUUCGAGGGUGACCGAAUUGCCGGGCGAGUGGUGAAAUACGUUGACCCUGGCAAGUCGACCUAUGGCGAAAGCUGUCAUCAAGGGCACGCCCGUUGAUCAAGAGCGAAAGUUAAGGGUUCGAAGACGAUCAGAUACCGUCGUAGUCUUAACUAUAAACGAUACUGACUAGGGAUAGGGCAAUGUCCAUUCCGACUCCCCCUGAACUUCGGAGAAAUUAAAGUCUUUGAGUUCCGGGGGGAGUAUGGUCGCAAGGCUGAAACUUAAAGGAAUUGACGGAAGGGCACACAAAGAGUGGAACCUGCGGCUUAAUUUGACUCAACACGGGAAAACUCACCAGGUCAGGAUACAUGUAUGAAAGACAAGCUGAUAGACUUUUCUCAAUAACGUAAGUGGUGGUGCAUGGCCGUUCUUAGUUCGUGGAGUGAUUCGUCUGGUCUAUUCCGAUAACGAGCGAGACAGCAGCGAACUAAAUAGGACCAGGUGCUUCAAGUUGGCCUCUUCGGGGGUCUUCUGCCGGCAGCUGGUCAAUUCAACUACUUAGUCGGAUUGGAGCCGAUAAGGCUUCUGAAAUGCGUCAAUAACAGGUCAGUCAUGCCCUUAGAUGUUCUGGGCCGCACGCGCGUUACAAUGGCAUAAAGAGCGAGUAUUCAUUACGAGUAUUUCCGCAGCCUUCGGGCUGUGGUAAUCAGUAAACUCCGCCUUGACUGGGAUAGACUAUUGUAAUUAUUGGUCUUGAACGAGGAAUUUUUAGUAGUCGUGCGUCAUCAGCGCGCGACGAAUGCGUCCCUGCCCUUUGUACACACCGCCCGUCGCUGCUACCGAUUGGGUUUUACGGUUACGUGUUCGGAGGCUAUGGGAACCGCUCUUCACGGGGCUGGGAACCACUGCCAAAGUUCCAAUU
Molecule: ribosomal RNA, 1882 nt
Filed under: Meriderma carestiae
Lineage: Eukaryota; Evosea; Eumycetozoa; Stemonitida; Stemonitidae
Description: SSU rRNA
Rfam family: Eukaryotic small subunit ribosomal RNA
Source: RNAcentral